UCCCAUCUCAUUCCACAAAGUUACGUGGAGCAAAGUAAAGUAAUACUCGUGUGUUCCUAUUUUCAUCAACUCCUGCUCAAUUUGGCAUGAUCAUAUCUUCUUCAGUGUGCUAUUCAUGACCCUUUCUUAGCUAUUUUUAGGGGAGUGAAAAGGCAAAAGGAUAAAGGAAUGAAGAAUUAUUUAGAGAUGUGCUAGUUGGAGAGUCUUAUAGGCACUGGUCCAGUGCAAGCAUCUGCUAGAAUAGGAAGGAUAAACUCACCUACGCAGCACUUGCUUUUCAUGUGGUUUAUGUCUUCUCGUUUUUUUUGCCUUGUAAUUGUAGGUGUGAUAUUUUAUGUUGUUCAGCAUUGAUAAAUUAGGAGAGUUGCAUAUUUUAUUUUAUUUUAUUCUAUUUUUGUUAAAAAUAAUUGGGGAUGUCAUGGUGAAGACUCUCUCUCUCUCUCAUGAUUUAGGCCUCUGGACAUUUGGCCAUCUGCUAUGGUACUCAUUUUGAAAGUCUUUUAUAUUGUGAAAUACACAUUUGCUAACUUGCAAAAAAAAAUGUAAUCUGUAUAUGGUAUCUAAACUUUUCUAAUUUCUCUUCAUUAAUGGACGUUCCUGUCCUAAACAAUCUGAUCUCAUGAUGUAAUGUGUAGACAUGUGAAAUGGAUUGCUUGGGCAAUGUAGCUGAAA
Amborella trichopoda is the source of this 672-nucleotide long non-coding RNA. RefSeq lists it as uncharacterized. NCBI's taxonomy places the organism in Eukaryota, Viridiplantae, Streptophyta, Magnoliopsida, Amborellales, Amborellaceae. The record is from RefSeq and is a predicted model, not a curated record.